Molecule: long non-coding RNA, 342 nt
Filed under: Macaca fascicularis (crab-eating macaque)
Lineage: Eukaryota; Metazoa; Chordata; Mammalia; Primates; Cercopithecidae
Description: lncRNA (ENSMFAG00000053774.1)
Source: RNAcentral
UCGAUCCUGCCCCAGGGUGUUUUCCAGAAUUUGCACGGCUCCCUAAUUACCUAGUAAUGCUGAGGGCUUAUGAAAAUGCUGUCAUUUGUGUGAGAAGGGGAGGGAAGACUGAAAGAAGAAGAAAAAAAAAAGCAGAUAGAAAAUGCUGUUAAACCUGGCAGAACUCCAGGGUUAUUUCAGCAGAAACCCUGGUCCAGGAGAGUCUAUGAAGUUCCAGCUUACACCAGACACGACCAGCAUCCAGAGAGAACUGAAAGAAGCUUGAAUCCUCUCACUAGAAUCCCUGCAAAAUGACUCAUGUAAUUGCUCUGUGUAAGUAUCCUUAGUCUUUAUUGUACACCC